AAUGGGCGCAAGCCUGAUCCAGCCAUGCCGCGUGUGUGAUGAAGGCCCUAGGGUUGUAAAGCACUUUCAACGGUGAAGAUAAUGACGGUAACCGUAGAAGAAGCUCCGGCUAACUUCGUGCCAGCAGCCGCGGUAAUACGAAGGGAGCUAGCGUUGUUCGGAAUUACUGGGCGUAAAGCGCGCGUAGGCGGGUUAUUAAGUUAGGUGUGAAACCCCAGGGCUCAACCCUGGAACUGCACUUAAUACUGGUAACCUAGAGUUCGAGAGAGGUGAGUGGAAUUCCGAGUGUAGAGGUGAAAUUCGUAGAUAUUCGGAGGAACACCAGUGGCGAAGGCGGCUCACUGGCUCGAUACUGACGCUGAGGUGCGAAAGCGUGGGGAGCAAACAGGAUU
This 392-nucleotide ribosomal RNA is filed under the name uncultured Gammaproteobacteria bacterium. Its description in RNAcentral is "bacterial SSU rRNA". It matches the Rfam family "Bacterial small subunit ribosomal RNA", at positions 370 to 779 of the family's 1533-position model. Lineage: Bacteria; Pseudomonadati; Pseudomonadota; Gammaproteobacteria. The record is from RNAcentral.